CUCCACCAUCACCAAAACCUCAGCCUCCUUAUUAUUAUCACUCUCCACCUCCUCCAACACCAGUUGUUAAGCCACCAUACUACUACCAAUCUCCACCUCCUCCAUCUCCAAAACCUAAGCCUCCAUACUACUACCAAUCUCCUCCUCCUCCAUCACCAAAACCUAAACCUCCUUACUACUACCAAUCUCCACCUCCUCCAUCACCAAAACCUCAGCCUCCAUACUACUAUCAAUCUCCACCUCCUCCAACACCAGUUGUGAAGCCACCAUACUACUACCAAUCUCCACCUCCUCCAUCACCAAAACCUCAGCCUCCUUACUAUUACCAAUCUCCACCUCCUCCAACACCAGUUGUUAAGCCACCAUACUACUAUAAAUCUCCACCUCCCCCAUCACCCUCUCCUCCACCACCAUACUACUACAAAUCUCCACCACCACCAUCCCCAUCACCGCCACCUCCAUACUACUAUAAAUCUCCACCUCCACCAUCACCGGUUGUUAAGCCACCAUACUACUAUAAAUCCCCACCUCCCCCAUCACCCUCUCCUCCCCCUCCAUACUACUAUAAAUCUCCACCUCCAUACUACUACCACUCUCCACCUCCACCAUCACCAGUUGUUAAGCCACCAUACUACUACAAAUCUCCACCUCCACCAUCACCCUCACCUCCCCCUCCAUACUACUAUAAAUCUCCACCCCCACCUUCACCAUCCCCUCCUCCUCCAUACUAUUAUAAAUCACCACCACCACCAUCCCCAUCACCGCCACCUCCAUACUAUUACAAAUCCCCUCCACCUCCAUCCCCAUCUCCACCGCCUCCUUAUUACUAUCACAGUCCUCCUCCACCAUCUCCCACUCCUCAUCCUCCCUACUACUACAAAUCCCCUCCACCACCAACGUCCUAUCCUCCACCUCCUUACCACUAUGUGAGCCCUCCACCACCUUCUCCAUCUCCACCUCCACCAUACUAUUACAAAUCACCACCUCCUCCCUCCCCAGCCCCCGCUCCAAAGUACAUUUACAAAUCACCUCCAC
Molecule: long non-coding RNA, 1035 nt
Filed under: Phaseolus vulgaris (common bean)
Lineage: Eukaryota; Viridiplantae; Streptophyta; Magnoliopsida; Fabales; Fabaceae
Description: long non-coding RNA (PVUL_LNC001945)
Source: RNAcentral